This 1892-nucleotide long non-coding RNA is filed under the name Marmota monax (woodchuck). Lineage: Eukaryota; Metazoa; Chordata; Mammalia; Rodentia; Sciuridae. The record is from RNAcentral.
UGGCUCAGCUUGACGGAGAGGCUCUUCUCUUCCAGACACCCCCUCGUGGCACACACAGGUGACCUCUCACUCGCUCUCUGGGCGUCCCUGACCAGCCGAGUCGACCCACGGUCAGCAUCACUGGCCCGAGGAGGUUGGUAGAAAACCCAGACGAGGAAACUGAGGCCCACAGAAGCAAAAGCCACUCGCCAUGUCACACAGCCCGGCCUCCGGGUGCCUCAGGUAAACGUUCAGAGGCCGUUUAGGUCGCCCUGCGUUGCCCUUGUAACAGGACGUGAGGAAGGACGAUCAGGACACACCAUGUCCAAGGUGGCCCAGCGGGGAGGUCACGGCAGGGACCCCAGGCCUGCUCUCCGUCUUCACCAGCCCCCGGCUCCCUGUGCGGACCCGGCCCAGGCGAAGGGGCUCCCUCAGGCUGAGCGCUGGCCUUGGCCUUCCCGCGUCCCCAGACCCUCCUGCCCGAGGUCGGGCUCCCCGGGCCCACACAUCAGCACCUGCCGGCUUCAUCCCAAGCAGCCUCUCCCUCCCAGCCCGACCCCCACUCACCACUGUGGCCCUGGGGACCCACGGGGCCCAGCUGCAGCCGUCAGACCCGGGGCUGCGUGGCCUGUUCCCUGGGGCACCCUUUGAGUUCCUGGGCCUUCUGGCACCUUUGGCUAUUUUACAACACCUCAACUUGGAGGGAACUGGUUGUAAAUCCAAAGAGGCUCGUCCAGAAAAAGGCCGAUGAAGGCAUCUGUGGAGAUGCGGUCGAUUGCAGCUGUUUCUGCCUCAUUUCAGUCCUCCCGAUGGCCGUGUUUCCAAGUGUCUUUGACUUGGCAGCGACAUCUUGUUAGUUUCCUCACCAGUUAAUGAGUCAAAAAUCUUUGACACACCAGGCGUGGUGGUGCACGCCUGCAUCCCAGCAGCUCAGGAGGCCGAGGCCGGAGGAUCAUGAGUUCAAAGCCAGCCUCAGCAAAAAGCAAGGUGCUAACCAACUCGGCGAGACCCUGUCUCUAAAUAAAGUACCAAAACGUAGAGCUGGGGAUGCGGCUCAGGGGUCAACUGCCCCGAGUUCUAUCCCCGGAAACUCCCCCAAAGUCUUUGACAUGUUCAUCUUAUACGUGCACGGAUCAUAGACUCACCUUUUCACAAAUGAUCUUCAGCAGCACCCAUUUGACUGCUGUCUUGGGGGUGCCACGCCUGCCCACCCUUUAACCCUGCUGACCUGUCCAGCCGGCCCUGACAGUGGCAGGAUUCUGAGCUCACUUUCCCCCGUCCCCUGACCCCACUUAACAGACAGAAACGGCACACUCAGGAUGUGGAGCCCAGUGGUCUGGCUCCUGUGCCCGGGGGUUCCCCGACUAUCCACAAGCAAAUGGAUUUUGUGGGCACCCCUCAACCUGGCUCCCGCACAAAGAAGUCCUCUUGGGCAGAGUCUUCACAUGGAGCGAUUCUCCAACAACACGGUGAGCUGGGCACUCGAGGCGCCCCGGGCGGGAGUGCGGAGCGCACUGUGGUGCCUGGGGACGGACACCCCUAGCCGUCCCCUGAGACAUGCCCCGGCAGUGUGGGUCCGGCCACCCCGCUGCUGCAGCGCACAGCAGGCAGGAACCAGGCCUCCCGGGAGGAGCAGGGAGACUAUUCUCAGCUGGGGACAGCUCUCCCGAGAGCCCACUCUGCACGAGGACGGGGACGGGGCGGGCACCACAGGCGGCCUCCCGCAGCUCCUCGCCACAGUAGGCAGAAGGCAGCUUCUGCCUCAUCCCGACCGCACAGAAGAGGCUGAGGCUCAGAGAGGUGGUGCCACUUGUCCCAGGUCACAGGACAGAGCUAGAAUGUGAACCCAGGUCAGUGUCUCAAGUCUGAACCAGAUUUGGGCUUCCCCGGGUCUGCAGGAGGUGACCCCCCAG